GAUUUAACAGCGGCGCUCGGCAAGGAGGCGUUGCUUUUCUCUGAACUCCUCUGAGUUCUGCUCACCAUGGAGACCGACCACUUAUUCCAGCUCACGGGUGUCAAAUCGCACGUUAAUCCCCGAAUCCGCGAGCUGCAAAUUGCAGGGUAACACAGGAGAAGCCAUUUGGUCCUUUCAUUGUUUUCAGAAAGAGGCAAAGACCGUGUUUAUCAGAGAUGCUGGAUGGAAUCUGAUCAUUCCUCGCUUCUUCUCCCACUUUUUACAGCCCAGAGUCCAGGUCUCUGUUUCUCCCCCACAUUUAUUUGGCUCUAGAAUCUCUGGAAAGACGCCUUCCCCGUUGACUCCCAGAUGA
Molecule: long non-coding RNA, 352 nt
Filed under: Danio rerio (zebrafish)
Lineage: Eukaryota; Metazoa; Chordata; Actinopteri; Cypriniformes; Danionidae
Description: lncRNA (ENSDARG00000117553.1)
Source: RNAcentral